RNAcentral lists this ribosomal RNA (740 nucleotides) under uncultured bacterium. RNAcentral describes it as "bacterial SSU rRNA". It matches the Rfam family "Bacterial small subunit ribosomal RNA", at positions 49 to 756 of the family's 1533-position model. The record is from RNAcentral.
CUAUACAUGCAAGUCGAGCGAGCCGAACUAAUUGAUUACCUUCGGGUAUGAAGUUAGGGAAGCGAGCGGCGGAUGGGUGAGUAACACGUGGGUAACCUACCCUAUAGUCUGGGAUACCACUUGGAAACAGGUGCUAAUACCGGAUAAAAGGAGAGAUCACAUGAUUUCUUUUUGAAAGGCGGCGUAAGCUGUCGCUAAAGGAUGGACCCGCGGUGCAUUAGCUAGUUGGUAAGGUAACGGCUUACCAAGGCAACGAUGCAUAGCCGAGUUGAGAGACUGAUCGGCCACAUUGGGACUGAGACACGGCCCAAACUCCUACGGGAGGCAGCAGUAGGGAAUCUUCCACAAUGGACGCAAGUCUGAUGGAGCAACGCCGCGUGAGUGAAGAAGGUUUUCGGAUCGUAAAGCUCUGUUGUUGGUGAAGAAAGAUAGUGAGAGUAACUGCUCAUUAUUUGCCGGUAAUCAACCAGAAAGUCACGGCUAACUACGUGCCAGCAGCCGCGGUAAUACGUAGGUGGCAAGCGUUGUCCGGAUUUAUUGGGCGUAAAGCGAGCGCAGGCGGAAAGAUAAGUCAGAUGUGAAAGCCCUCGGCUUAACCGAGGAAUAGCAUCGGAAACUGUCUUUCUUGAGUGCAGAAGAGGAGAGUGGAACUCCAUGUGUAGCGGUGGAAUGCGUAGAUAUAUGGAAGAACACCAGUGGCGAAGGUGGCUCUCUGGUCUGUAACUGACGCUGAGGCUCGA